AGAGACGCGAUAGCGCGGCAGUCGUGGAAGAAGACGUCGCAUCGUCGCAGACUCGCAGUCGUACUACGGAACUACCGGCAUGCCAAGAUGGCGCUUUAGUUAAACACAUAAACUCUCGACCCGUACUUCCAAUACGCAGAAGUAUGGAACUGCAGAAACUAGGAAAAAGGGAAAAUCUGUAUUCAGAACUCAGAAGUAAGUGAAGGAGGAAGCUUGUUUGUCGUUGAACAUUGAUCUGUACAACAAAAAUAAUAUCGUACAUUUGAAAAUUGAAAAAUUUUAAUAAACUCCUUUUCCACUGUUAUAUAGAAUUUAAUUUUGCCAAAACCGAAUUUGAAAUGGUAAUAGAAUGCAAUAAAAAAGAACGAGAAAAACUUUUCAGCCAGUCUAAUGGUGCAUUAUUACCGGGGUACUUCACGAGAAGCGAGUAUGUGACCUAUCCAACACGGCAUGGUAUAUAUUUAAUAUUUAAGAAAAAUUUCCUCGAUUUUGACUAAAUUCUCAAGAACGUAAUAUAUUCUACAAUUUCCUCUCAAUUAUAGACAUUCUUGUUUUAGUAAUAUCGCUUUCCAUUUUAUAAAAUAAGCCUACAACUCAAUAUUGAAAUCAAUAAUAACAACAAAAUUAUUGUGCCUCUUGUGGGUACUGGCAACUGGAGAAGAGUACACCAUUUAACAUAAU
Long non-coding RNA from Myzus persicae (green peach aphid), 681 nucleotides. RefSeq lists it as uncharacterized. The record is from RefSeq and is a predicted model, not a curated record. The transcript has 4 exons. Lineage: Eukaryota; Metazoa; Arthropoda; Insecta; Hemiptera; Aphididae.